AUGGCGCCGGGGUUCACCAAGUUUGAUGUGGAGAAAUUCGAUGGCACGGGUAACUUCGGUCUAUGGCAGACAAGAGUCAAGGAUAUUAUGGCGCGGCAGGGAAUCUUGAAGGGUUUGCAGGAAACGAAGCCGGACAAGGUUGACAACGAUGCGUGGGAGGAUAUGCAAGUGCAGGCGGCCGCUACCAUACGGCUUUGUCUUGCGGAUCAGGUCAUGUAUCAUGUCAUGGACGAAGAUUCUCCUAAGGGAAUUUGGGACAAGUUGGCAAAUCGUUAUAUGUCCCAAGUCAGCGACCAAUAA
This 300-nucleotide ribosomal RNA is filed under the name Triticum aestivum (bread wheat). RNAcentral's name for it is "partial small subunit ribosomal RNA". Lineage: Eukaryota; Viridiplantae; Streptophyta; Magnoliopsida; Poales; Poaceae. The record is from RNAcentral.